GUUUUUUUUUUUUUUUUUUUUUUUUUUUUUUUUUUUUUUUUUUUUUUUUUUUUUUUUUUUUGUUUUUUUUUUUUUUUUUUUUUUUUUUUUUUUUUUUUUUUUUUUUUUUUUUUUUUUUUUUUUUUUUUUUUUUUUUUUUUUUUUUUUUUUUUUUUUUUUUUUUUUUUUUUUUUUUUAUUUUUGUGUUUUUUUUUUUUGUAUGUGU
RNAcentral lists this long non-coding RNA (205 nucleotides) under Gallus gallus (chicken). The record is from RNAcentral. Lineage: Eukaryota; Metazoa; Chordata; Aves; Galliformes; Phasianidae.